ACGGAGGGUGCAAGCGUUGUUCGGAAUUACUGGGCGUAAAGGGCGCGUAGGCGGUGCGAUAAGUCAGGCGUGAAAGCCCCGGGCUUAACCCGGGAAUAGCGCUUGAUACUGUUGCGCUUGAAUCCAGGAGAGGAUGGCGGAAUUCCCAGUGUAGAGGUGAAAUUCGUAGAUAUUGGGAAGAACACCAGUGGCGAAGGCGGCCAUCUGGCCUGGAAUUGACGCUGAGGCGCGAAAGCCAGGGGAGCAAACGGGA
RNAcentral lists this ribosomal RNA (253 nucleotides) under uncultured prokaryote. RNAcentral's name for it is "partial 16S ribosomal RNA". It matches the Rfam family "Bacterial small subunit ribosomal RNA", at positions 525 to 777 of the family's 1533-position model. The record is from RNAcentral.